This 4463-nucleotide long non-coding RNA is filed under the name Homo sapiens (human). RNAcentral's name for it is "HSALNT0143835". The record is from RNAcentral. Lineage: Eukaryota; Metazoa; Chordata; Mammalia; Primates; Hominidae.
UCGGAUGCCACUUCCCUGACCCCUUCUGUCUUCUGACUCAAAAGUGAAUGCUUUGGAGAUACACACCCUCUGUUGUCAUCACAUGGAAAGAGUUGAUGGAUGGCACCAGGAGAGGAAGCUUGUUUCUUUGAUGGCAUUUCGUUCCAUUAAAAGCAUUCUACUGAUCUACUUGGAUUAUUCCUGAGUUUCUGCAAGACUGAGGAACUUUCCAGAAGGCUCUCAGCACCUUCGAGAUGAUCCAGAUGGCUUCUCCCUCCUCUGAACUAUUACUUUUGGUCAGUCUCCAAGCAUUUCCUGAACCAGGGUCUUCCUUUCUUCCAGGAGACGGCUGGAAACAUCCUCCUUGAGGGUAGCGGCCACCCUGUAUACAUCUCUUCAGAGCCCAGCGCUGGAAACCACAUCAAGAAGACUUUGUUUUGGUGCCCCAAGAGGAUUAACCUACUAAAUCCUACUAGCAAGUUUCUGGAGAACUCUAUAAAUUGUAGCAAAUCAAUAACCUCUGAAGUGUAACCUCUACUUGGACUGCAGCCAUUGAGAAGAUGUUCUCUAUACCUUCAAGGACAGAGGUAUCUUGGUGUCAGGAGGCAAGUUACUCCUUCAAGCACUGAUGUCUAUGUUGCUUGUGAUUCUCUGUCCUACAGCUUUGAUUGUAUAAUAUAUGCUGGGUUAAUUUUAAGUGUGUGUGUGUGUGUGUGUGUGUGUGUGUGUGUGUGUGUCUUAAUGAUUUUUGUUCUUCUAUUCUCUUUGCAUUCCAAAAAAGCAGUGAUAUGUAAAAGCAAAUCGGUGUGACACAUGAAUCUUAUUUAUAAAGCACAAGGCCCUGCCCUCACCUUGGUGAACCAGAAAAGAAUUUUCAUCUUGAAGGUGUGUCAGGUCCUAAGAAUUCCAUAAGUAUGAGUUGUUCUGGACUAAGGCAAUAAUGUAGAUAUUGAAGCGCUCAAUAUGGUUUCUUGACAUGAAUUAAAGAUAUUAACGUGCAUGAGCUUUGUGAUGGCUAAAAAUGAUUUGCCCUUACAUCUGAGUUUGUGAUUAGGGAUGGUAGAUGUUAGUAGAGACCUACUUCUAUAUAGAUUAUGUAAGUUUAUUUGAACCAGUUUACUGUCCUGACAUUAUGAAGUUCAUUCUCCAGCCAGUAAGUAAAAACAAAACAAAACAAAACAAAACACAUAAAAUUGAGGUCAAAACAAAUUUAUGGCCACUUAUUUCUUUCCUAAAUACAGUUUUUCCCUCUUAAGACAUAAAUAUUAACAAGUGUGGGAAGAAAUUCAAUGAUCAUUAAUAUUUUCAUUUGAUGGAAUCAAAGAUCCAUCCUGUAGAUAACAGUUUCACCACGAAUUUUGCAUUAGGCAUAGUACCAAGAGCUUUACUGAAUUAACUCAUUUAAUCCUCACAAUAUGAAUUUAAAGCAUGCAUGGAACAAAUGUGGACAAGUCUUUAGGAAAACUUCUCCCUUACUCUGUAUCAGAGGAGCCAAACUUGGAGAAACCUGUAAUUGUUGCCUCUGGCUAGGAAUCUAUCUCCUGAUUUCUACUUUCAAACCUCCCAUUCAUCAAAUACUGCCUCCCCCAUGAUUUUCCUACAACAUGCAAUUUAAUUUUCCUCAUUUAAAAUACAUCCCCAAAGCCAUCUCGUUUUGUUCUCCUCUGUCAUUGAUCCUAUUCUGUCAGACAGUGUGGUUCUCUGAGGAUGUGUGAUGUGCUCUUAGCAAGGACUUUGGAAUCACGAGACAUUGGUUUGAUGUUUCUGAGGCUCACUGAGUAAGUGGUACAAAAAGCAGCAUUACUUACCUCUGGGGUCUUAUGAGACCUAAUCAGAAAGCCUAGAGAUAAUACUUUGUUGACUGGGAACAUGGUUUAAAAAAAAAAAACGUAUUACUGAACACAUUGAAGCAAGUGCUGAGCUGAGUUCAUUUUUUGUGUGUUCUAGGAAACCUUAAAAGAUGCCUGGGAACUAGCCGUCUUGCUCAAUGUAUGUCAAAUAAAUAUUUUUAGGAUAGAACCAGAUACCUUCUUAAUAGAUAAACAGCUCUGAAACAUCUCAAGAGCUUGUUCCCCAAGACUCAGAGGCAGGAUAGGCAGAUCCUUAGCAGGUGCUGGGUUCUUUGAAGCAAAUGAGGCACCACAUUUUCCUUUGAUGGCUGGGAGGACACAAGACAGAGGGAGAUGCUUUCUUCAGCAAAGGAGAAAGUACUCUUUUUAAGAGGCUUCCUUAAUGUGGCAAAAUCCUUCAUCAUGAGGCCAGAAGACUCAAUGUCAGGCAUGUGAGAGGCAUGCUCUAUAUGGGGUAGAAGGACAACAUUUGGCCAAAUUUGAUUCUCAAAUGCAGGCAUGUUUGGUGCCUCUGCACCUCUGGAAGGAAGGCUGUGUUUGUGCAGUGAUGGACUAAUUUCCAUGGCAACAGAGUGUCUGGUGUCAGAAGAAUAGAAAUGAAAGCUCCAUGUGCCAACACUAUAUUUAUGUGAUGUUUAUCUCAUUGAUUCUUACAACGCAAAGAGGGCUUGAUCUCUCAGCAAGCGUGCUUUUGUCCAAAUGAUGCCAAUGCAGAAAUCAUGCCAUUUCUAUCAAUAUUUCACAUCUAAAGGUUGGGUGUACUAUUUUUGUCUUGUGAAGUUUUGAUAGUCUCAAUGGAGCCUUUAGGCUCCUUUCUACAGGUUUUGUUAGAGCUUCAUGGGGUGGCACCAGGAAUGGUGAAGGAGGCAGCUAGGGUCUGGGUUUUGGUUUCCUAAGAAUGCAGCAAUGUCACUGAGCAGCCACUUUCUGCAGGAUGAGGAGAGUGAAAAAAUGCACUCAAAGGACUGAAUGGACCCUUAACUCCUAAGGGCCAACCAGACAGAAUGUGAAUGAGCAGAGAGGCUGGUCUGAUCUAUUGUAAGCACUCUGCUCCCUCUUGCUACAAGUGUCUUCUUGAAAUUGAUACCCUCCCCUCCACCCCUAAGAAAAGCUCACCUCUCAGCCUUGAGUCCCAAUCUUUAAUGCCUUCCAAGACUUUUCUCUCUCUCUCUUUCUCUUUUUUUUUCUUUUUUCUACUAUGAUCUGUGCCCUGAAUACCUCAAACCAAAGACUUCACUCUUGGCUUCUUUCCUGACCCCAGGCUUCUCCACAAACCACAGAGUCCUAUAGUGUUGCUUCAUAGGCCCUUACCCUUUCUAACUCAUUCCUGUCUUCCCAAACCAUAGGCCUGACACAUCAUGGGAAACCCAACCACCCCUACCUUGUUCUUUACCCCAGAUACUGGGUGUCAAGCAGUCUUUCCAAAAGGAAGGUACUUUUUAUCCUGUUGGUUGGCAAGCUGCCCACAGAGAGAAUGUAGAUGAGCACUUUUAAAAGUGAAUGAGGUCGGGCGUGGUGGCUCAUGACUGUAAUCCCAGCACUAUGGGAGGCCGAGGCAGGCAGAUCAUGAGGUCAGGAGUUCGAGACCAGCCUGGCCAGCAUGGUGAAACCCUAUCUCUACUAAAAAUACAAAAAAAUUAGCCAGGCAUGGUGCCAUGUGCCUGUAGUCCCCACUACUCAGUAGGCUGAGGCAGGAGAAUUGCUUGAACCUGGCAGGUGGAGUUUGCAGUGAGUCGAGAUCGCAACACUGCACUCCAGCCUGGGCAACAGAGCGAGACUCUCUCAAAAAAAAGUAAAUAAGUAGAGAUUAAAAUGUCCCCAAGUUACUGCAGUAAUGGUUGUGCAUAUCUGUGAACAAAUAAAACCCAUUCAAUUGUACACUUUAAGUGGGUGAAUUGAAUAUAUGGGAUGUGAAUUACAUCUCAAUAAAGCAAUUUUACAAUAGAUCUUAUGUAUGACAUGGUGACUAUAGCUAAUAACAAUGUAUUGCAUAUUUAAAAUUUGCUAAGGGACUGCAAAAAAUUAUAAGUAUGUGAGGUAAUGCAUGCUGUAUCUAGAUUGAUUUAGCCAUUCCACAGUGUAUAUAUAUUUUAAAACAUUAUGUGUAGACCAUAAAUAUAUGUACUUUCAACAAAGCUAAAUUAAAAAUAAAGCUUUUUUAAAAAAGUAGGUAGACAAAUACAGCCAUCACAUAAAACUCAUGCAAUAAAAAUUUUAAAAUGAAUGUAUUUGGAGAAAAUCUGAGUGGAUUUAGAGAAGAAUGCUGUAUACACCAUAGUAUGGUGUAAGUGGUUUGGUGGUAUGUUGUAGUAUAUAAUAUGUGGAUGUGGUAUGUGAAUGUGUUCAUGGAAGUUUAUAAAAAGUUGGUAUGAUGGAAAAAGCUUUGGUAUUUCUCCUGACAAAUCACUUCUGAGCUCCUUCUUGCUGUUUGCUGCUACUGCUUGAAUGUUCAAUAAACAUUUUGGAUCACUUUAUAUCUUUAUAUGAGCCAGGCACUCUUCAAAGCAGCAAGGACACAUCAGUGAGCAAGAUGGGCAGAGUCCCCGCUCUCAAGAAGUCCAUAUUCUACGUCGGGAGGCAGACAGAAGCCAAAUCAACAAAUGAAUAAACGGCAAUCCAAGCUGGACUUCAGGA